This 1151-nucleotide ribosomal RNA is filed under the name Sugarcane phytoplasma (uncharacterized). Its description in RNAcentral is "bacterial SSU rRNA". It matches the Rfam family "Bacterial small subunit ribosomal RNA", at positions 214 to 1372 of the family's 1533-position model. The record is from RNAcentral. RNAcentral also lists the same sequence under 12 other names. Lineage: Bacteria; Bacillati; Mycoplasmatota; Mollicutes; Acholeplasmatales; Acholeplasmataceae.
UAUGCUUUAGGAGGGGCUUGCGCCAUAUUAGUUAGUUGGUAGGGUAAUGGCCUACCAAGACGAUGAUGUGUAGCUGGACUGAGAGGUUGAACAGCCACAUUGGGACUGAGACACGGCCCAAACUCCUACGGGAGGCAGCAGUAGGGAAUUUUCGGCAAUGGAGGAAACUCUGACCGAGCAACGCCGCGUGAAUGACGAAGUACUUCGGUAUGUAAAGUUCUUUUAUCAAGGAAGAAAAGCAAAUGGCGAACCAUUUGUUUGCCGGUACUUGAUGAAUAAGCCCCGGCUAAUUAUGUGCCAGCAGCCGCGGUAAGACAUAAGGGGCAAGUGUUAUCCGGAAUUAUUGGGCGUAAAGGGUGCGUAGGCGGUCUAGUAAGUCAGUGGUGUAAUGGCAACGCUUAACGUUGUCCGGCUAUUGAAACUGCUAAACUUGAGUUAGAUAGAGGCGAGUGGAAUUCCAUGUGUAGCGGUAAAAUGCGUAAAUAUAUGGAGGAACACCAGAGGCGUAGGCGGCUCGCUGGGUCUUAACUGACGCUGAGGCACGAAAGCGUGGGGAGCAAACAGGAUUAGAUACCCUGGUAGUCCACGCCGUAAACGAUGAGUACUAAGUGUCGGGUUAAACCGGUACUGAAGUUAACACAUUAAGUACUCCGCCUGAGUAGUACGUACGCAAGUAUGAAACUUAAAGGAAUUGACGGGACUCCGCACAAGCGGUGGAUCAUGUUGUUUAAUUCGAAGAUACCCGAAAAACCUUACCAGGUCUUGACAUGUUUUUGCAAAAUGAUAGUAAUAUCGUGGAGGUUACCAGAAACACAGGUGGUGCAUGGUUGUCGUCAGCUCGUGUCGUGAGAUGUUAGGUUAAGUCCUAAAACGAGCGAAACCCUUAUCGUUAGUUGCCAGCACGUUAUGGUGGGGACUUUAACGAGACUGCCAAUGAUAAAUUGGAGGAAGGUGAGGAUCACGUCAAAUCAGCAUGCCCCUUAUGACCUGGGCUACAAACGUGAUACAAUGGCUGUUACAAAGGGUAGCUGAAACGCAAGUUCUUGGCCAAUCCCCAAAAACAGUCCCAGUCCGGAUUGAAGUCUGCAACUCGACUUCAUGAAGUUGGAAUCGCUAGUAAUCGCGAAUCAGCAUGUCGCGGUGAAUACGUU